This is a non-coding RNA of Sarcophilus harrisii (Tasmanian devil), 69 nucleotides long. The record is from Ensembl. NCBI's taxonomy places the organism in Eukaryota, Metazoa, Chordata, Mammalia, Dasyuromorphia, Dasyuridae.
GCAAAUAUAGUUUAACAAAAACAUUAGAUUGUGAAUCUAAUAUUAGGAGCUUAAACCUCCUUAUAUGCC